Long non-coding RNA from Ornithorhynchus anatinus (platypus), 5613 nucleotides. RefSeq lists it as uncharacterized. Lineage: Eukaryota; Metazoa; Chordata; Mammalia; Monotremata; Ornithorhynchidae. The record is from RefSeq and is a predicted model, not a curated record. The transcript has 2 exons.
CAACUCUAUUGCAUUGUACUUUCCCAAGCAUUUAGUACAAUGCUCUGCUCACAGUAAGAGUUCAGUAAAUAUGACAGAUAGUAACUAAAACCAGGAAGGUUGAUAUGACCCUUGGAAGAUUGACAGAGAAUUGUGACACACUCUCAUGACAAUCAAUCUUCAUACUAACUUAAAAGACGAACAAUAUGGUAGUAGUGACCAAUCUUUUCUGGGACUGGGCUUACCUUAACCUACCUGGAAAGUUAAGUUUCCCAGUGACCCCCGGAAGCCGGACUCACUAUCCAAAAACAAGCAGGAGGUCUCAGAAUAUUUAGUUUCCUGACACUGGAACAGUACCAGUGCACACAACUUCACAGGGUGGGUGGGACUUGAAGGGAGUGUUUGACAGCAGCUGCUGUGUGAUAAAUUGAAAGAAUACGCACAACUAAGGAAGAUAGAACAAAAGUUCCCUGAGGAAACCCGGCUUUUAUGGAGAGCGAUCUGCUGUUGGCAAGUUCCUCCAAGUCUUGUCCGUCGUGAUGAGGCAGUCAGUGGCCAUCGUUGUUCCACGUACUUUAAGUCUUCUGCCAGAAGUGUAGCAAGAUGCAGGAAAUCUUAGUUUAGCGAUCCAGAGACCUGUUGUGUAUCUUACAUGAUAGACCAGCCUCGUAUUACUAAUCAAUCUCCAGGUAUUUACGGAGCCCUUACCCUGUGCUGAGCACUAGACUUAAGCUCUUGGGAGUGAGCAAUGGAGAACUCUUAGAGACUAGUUCCCCCUCACUAGAGCCUUGCUGGAGAGGGGGAAAAUGAACCGGAUGCAGCAAUCUUUUAACUGCUUGUUGGAGUCAUAGUUGCUUUGCUAAGAAAAGGAGGCAUCCCCAGCCUCCAGAUAAUAAACCCUUUUCCCAAAUCAAAGUUUCACAGUAAAGGAUCAAACUGCCAAGCAUGCUCACAAAUGACGGGUUGUAGAGGCAGGAGAGGAAACUAAUGAUCACAAAAGCGAGCUGUCAGGUUGACUUUCUUGGCACUGUUCACAUACAUCUAGAAUUCCUCUCAAUUAGCACCCCUGCAUUUAUUCCUCCCCUUAUAGCAGGGCAGAGAACUCGGCCUCGUUGGCACAUGGGUGGAGAAACAUCAGGGCAGCAGGCCUCCGCUCAGAAGGAAAUGAAGAAAGCGAAUAAAAGCAAAGAUCUGAGAGAAUGGUCUACUCUCAGAGGGGUUUGGGGCAUUUGGUUCCGGGAAGAGCUUACUUGUAUACAGGAAAAGGUGGCCACUCCAGCCACACGUCUUCUCUCAAGAGGGAGGCUUCCUUAGCUCACCUGCUCACAGGGAGAGCUGACUGCAAAGUCAUGCCUUUCUGGAAACAGGGAAUUUUUCUUUGAAAGUGUUUUGCCGGAGGGCAUAGCUGACUAGGAAACCCAGGUCAUUAUGGGUUUCGGUUACGCGACUUGACCGAGGGAUGACUUGAACGAGAAGAAGGAACUGAGGACUUCUAAAAUUGGGGCCCCUCGAAGCAGGUCCAAGAUUUGGGUAUUCUGGGAAGUUUAGUCACCUGUGGGAAAUCAUAGUUUAGUGAUCCAGAGAUCUGUGGUGUUCCUAACCUGUUAGACCAGCAUAGUGUUAUCAGUCAAUCACAGAUUUUUUUAAGUCCUUCUUGAGACAGGCCCAAGACUGGGAUAUUCUCCAGGAAGGCAGGCAGCCCCCGACUUAGUUACACACAUACCUACUAACAAUCACUUGUUUUUGUUCCAACCAUUCUCACAGACACUGGUCACAACCUACGCAUCAGAAACAUGAUCCUCUUGCUCAUUUCAAUCAAUCCAGCAAUCACUUUAUUUGAAUUUUGGGGUACUCACCCAGUUGAAUAUUCACUCAGUUUGCAUAUUUAGAUCCAGUAUGAUUGACAAUCUGUAUAGAGUGUAGGUGGGCCAUGCCCUCUUAAAGCACCACCAGGGUAAAAGGUGGCUUCACCCUCAUCCAGAGAAGAGGUGGGAACCCAGCACUUCAGUGUCUUCUCCAAUCUAUCCAUAAAUGGCAAUAGUAAUCCGUAUUUAUAUCUCCCGGGAACUCUUGGAUCUUCCAUUAAAAAAAUCCUUACUAAGAGGUAUUUAUAUCUGUUUUUUUUCCCAAUACGGACUUGGAAAUAUACACCAAAUGGGGACAGAGCAAAGGGAGAGAGAGGUAAAAAGUCCAGAUCCGCUUUGGGGAAACUGAAGGGGGAAGCAAAUCAGUCCUGAAGAAAAAAAAUCAAAAAGUUUGGAGUGAUUCCUUCCCCCCUCCACGUGUAACCCACUAUUGUUUCAAAGUGCUGGGGCACUUUAUUAUGUAAGAAGCCUGCAAGCAUUUGGCCUUGGCGGACCUGGAUCAGGAACUGAAACUGGUCUGAGACUCCAUUUAUAAAGAUAAAAGUAGGGAACAGAUAAAAGAUGAGAACUUCUUUUAGCAGAUAAGGCAUGGUUCAGAGCUCUAAUGGCUUAUUUUCCCUCCAGGGAGGGUUGGUGCAGGGUGGGGAAGAUAGGUUGAUGACCAGAUGGGCUCAAAUGAUAGACCUUGCAGUAAGUCACUGGCAAUAAGAAUCAUUUCCUACUCUGGCUACUAUGGGUCAGGGCAGUUCUAUGCACCUCCUCUAAUUUAAUCUUCAAAAAUAUGAUUUUUUUCCAAACAGAAAAGUUGCUCCAACUUUUUCAAUAGGGCUCUGAGGAAGGGGAGGAGGGCAUAGGGGCCUCCCAACAGGGAUGAUGGUGAUGCGGAUUUCUAGCUAAUCAGUCAAUGCUAUUUUUUUGAUCGCUUGCUGUAGAGCACUAUAUUACGCACUGGGGAGAACAUAAUACAGUAGUGGUGGUAGACACAAUCCCAGGUGUCCUUUAAGGAUGAAUAAGUGAUUGAAAUUGGUGAAAUACUGCCCAAUAUAAAAAAGAGGGGCUUUUCUUGAGUCUGUAAACCCUGCUCCCUUCCAUCUCUGGCAAAAUAAAUAGAUUUCAUGAGAAUUAAAGAAGAGGCAAAGGCAAUGUAGGACUGCAGAGUAGCUGAAAUAGUAUUUAUUAAGCACUUACUGUGUGCAGAACUCUAACAAAGCGCCGGGAAACGGCACAAGAAGCAGAGUAGCAAAAUGUUUCCGGUUGGGAUUGAGACUCAGUUUCUGACUCUCGAGGGCCCCAUGGUCUAAAAAGACUGGAACCAAUCUUUGUUACCUGUUGGGAUUUUAUUAGAACGGUCCCAGGUGAACUAGCGUGCGGUAAUGCCUUUCUUCAGGUCAAGAAUUUUGUGAUGAGAAUGAGCCCAACUGCCCGCAGUGACUCCGGACAAGAAGAUGGCAUGUGGUGUCAUAUGCGUUAACCCAGACACAAAGAAUAGCAUGGUGUUGAUGUCAUAAACACCAUUUUGAGAACAAGGCCAAAAGCUACACCAAUGUAACUACCCCGAGUGACCCCUGACCCCAUCAGUUGUUUCAGAGACUUUCCGUAUCUUUGAACGCGGUCGCUUCCAAGCAAAGAAACUUGGGAAGCGAGGCAGGGUGCUGAAAAAAAAAAAAGAAAUGCCAUACUAAAAGGUAGUAUCUGGUGCCUUUUCCACAUCAAGCACGAGGCAGAUGACGGCUCACUAGACCUCGUAUUCCUCUUGUCGCUGAGACUUUGAGCCUAUUUUGUCUGUCUGUGGUGUGCUUUAAUUAUUUUUAAUCAUCAUUCUUGAUGAGUCUGUCUCCGAUCCCUUCUCCCCACUUGAAAUUUUUUGAUGUGAGUCACCCCCAAGGCCAGGGAUGAUGUCUAAUUUCCAUCUGUGUCUUUUCUCCCAGAAUUUAGCACAGUGCCCUGUAUACAAUAAGUGCUUAAUCAAUACUUUUAUCACCUCCUUAGUUUCACGGGUUCCCCCGCUGAGGAAGUGGCUGGCUAUGAAGUCAGAUCACUCUCUGUGAGAGGGGCACUCUUUUCUGUAUAAGAGUUUUGUCUGUAGGCAUAUAGCUGGCAUAGUUUCCCAGAGAUAGACGUCUCCCAUAGAUAGAAAUGUCUUUUCCUCGUUUUGGUCGCUUGUGUGCGGAGGAGUUGGUUCCUCUCAAAGUGGAGGACAAGUGAGCAGGCCUAGGAACACUAUCUCCUUGAAAGGGAGUUAGUUAACACAGGUGAUGUAAGCAAAUGUCUGCUCCCGCUGGAACCUUCAGGGAGGUGGCUUGCCAACCUAGUUCCAGCCAUACCUCAAUACAUACCCACUGUCAUGACCUCAUUUUUGUUUUCUCACAAACAAACCUCUGUGAGACCUUUACUCCUGUUAUGGCCACCUGACAUGUUAAAAACAUGGGUGUGUUCAUGGGAAUACCAGACCAGGAGAUGCUGAUGACAAUCGCGUCUGUUACGACAGAUGUGAUUUUCUGAGUGUCUGAGCUCUGAGCACUUGAAUCAGAAAUUACGUGCAAGGAAAAAACGUUUAAAGAAAAUGGGGGAGGAAGAAAAGAUAAGGGCAAUGGAGCGAUGGAAUCCUGUAAUCUGGACUCCUCUCAAGCUAAAUGUAAAGCUUCCAUUGUUCUUCCCGCCCCUGAUUGCCCUUACAAACUUAAGGCAGGUUCUCCAAACUUGCUCAGAUAAAAAGAAACCAUGGAAUGAUACUGGGCUUGGAAUCACAGAACUCACUUUAGGGGCCCAAAGGUCCAAAUGCCCAUUUUAGAAUCUACGGCGCCUCUAACAGUGAGGAUACGAGACGGCACCCCUCCCCUCGGUGGCACCUGAAGGAAUCCCACUGGGCAGAGAAGCUGCCUGUGUGCGCGAUGUCCCCUUCUGGGCCUUGUCUGCUCCCCUUGGAUCGGAGAGUUGUGGCCUGCCAAGAGAUGGGUGAGCGACGCUGUCCUCUCCUCUCAUUGGGCCUUCGGGUGGGUGGAGAAGCGGCAGCGCCGGUGGCCUGGGGAGGCGGUCUCGAAUGCCCCCUUACCCUGAAGAGACACGGGAGAAAGCCAGCGGGGCCGUUUUGCACCUCCCGCUGUUCUUCGGAUCAGUCCCACGAGAGACGUUAUUCCCCACUUUACCAACGGUGUCCUUUGGGUGCCCCCCGCCAGCUGGACAAGUAGAAGCAGCAACGCAGCUGCCCGUCUAUAGAGAGGUUUUAGUUUUUUUCUCUGCAGAAUGGCAUCGUCUGGGUCUUCGCUGUCGGGCACGCGACGUAUGCCGUUUGUAAGGAAGACCCCAAUGUGUGGACACCCAUCCUCUAACGGGACCACGCCAGGAUGAGGGAAAUGUUAUUUUUCACCAUAAUUGCUUCUUUCCACUUGGUGCAAGGACCCACCAAACCUAAAAGCUGGGCAGCCAGGUUAGGGAGGGCCCUGGCGUGACCGAGGGGUGACUGUGGUGGGUGGUUCAGUGGCUUUGACCGUCCCUUUCUGUCGCUAGAUACAAGAGAGACAUCAUCCCACAGAAUGGCAAGUGUCUCUUCCCACUUGGCGAAAGCGACUGGACCCUGCUCUGCCUUGGGAAUUCACCGAUUGGAAACCCGGGGACAGGAAUGCAGAAUAAUAGCCCGAGAUCUUCUCCAGAGUUGGAAUGGAACUAGUUGUUGCCACCUAAAACAGGCUUAGCCCUCCGCAAGUGGAGAACAGAGAAGUCCAUGGCUGGCCCAGAUCAACAGCACCAUAAAGUAUAUCAAUCAAUGUUA